CGUAGCUCAGCUGGAUAGAGUACCUGGCUACGAACCAGGCGGUCAGAGGUUCGAAUCCUCUCGGACGCGCCA
RNAcentral lists this transfer RNA (72 nucleotides) under Vibrio cholerae. RNAcentral describes it as "tRNA-Arg". It matches the Rfam family "tRNA". From Rfam's summary of the family: Transfer RNA (tRNA) molecules are approximately 80 nucleotides in length. The record is from RNAcentral. Lineage: Bacteria; Pseudomonadati; Pseudomonadota; Gammaproteobacteria; Vibrionales; Vibrionaceae. RNAcentral also lists the same sequence under 2 other names.